This is a long non-coding RNA of Ficedula albicollis (Collared flycatcher), 203 nucleotides long. RefSeq lists it as uncharacterized. Lineage: Eukaryota; Metazoa; Chordata; Aves; Passeriformes; Muscicapidae. The record is from RefSeq and is a predicted model, not a curated record. The transcript is spliced from 3 exons.
UCCUUCUAAAUUUUGUAAGUCUCUACUCACUGGCAGCUGCCAGAGUUGAGGCAUUAACAAUAGCGAGAGAAUCUUUGCGGGCUCAUUUCGAACCUGAAGCAGCUGUUCUGCCUCCUGCUGCUGCUCCUGAUGAAUCUUUUUGGCUUCCCUUUACACCCCAAGGGACCAGUAAACCUCCUACUGCUGAAGCUUUUCAGCUUUGC